RNAcentral lists this ribosomal RNA (475 nucleotides) under Lanurgus sp. N BHJ-2012. RNAcentral's name for it is "eukaryotic LSU rRNA". It matches the Rfam family "Eukaryotic large subunit ribosomal RNA", at positions 477 to 926 of the family's 3401-position model. Lineage: Eukaryota; Metazoa; Arthropoda; Insecta; Coleoptera; Curculionidae. The record is from RNAcentral.
UUAUUUUUUUAAGCGUUCGUCUUAGCGGCAAGCGCGUUAGAUCAGUCGUAGACCGGACCUAGUGCCGAUCGCGACUUCUGACGACUGUUGGCCGCCAAGUUCUCGAACAGAGUCUCAAGUUAAACCGAUCGGCGACGCUAUAGCUUUGGGUACUUUCAGGACCCGUCUUGAAACACGGACCAAGGAGUCUAGCAUGUGCGCGAGUCAUUGGGAUUUAUUCGAAACCUAAAGGCGCAAUGAAAGUAAAGGUUUUCCUCGCGAAGACCGAGGGAAGACGAACGAGAUUUUUACGUCUCGUUCCGCACUCCCGGGGCGUCUCGUUCUCAUCGCGAGAAGAGGCGCACCAAGAGCGUACACGCUGGGACCCGAAAGAUGGUGAACUAUGCCUGGUCAGGACGAAGUCAGGGGAAACCCUGAUGGAGGUCCGUAGCGAUUCUGACGUGCAAAUCGAUCGUCGGAACUGGGUAUAGGGCGA